GUGGUAAUAAAGGUCUGGCAGGAGGCUGUUGCUGGCCCAAUAAUGUGGCAUGUGCACGCCUCUAUAAAAGUCAGUUUUGAGUUACAUUUUCCUGUGCAUUUUUGUAGACACUUUGGAUUGAGGAACUGUGUUGGUUUCUUGCUGUGAAUAUCAAGGUGUCUAUGCUUUUUAAUCAAUACAAAGCAUGUAUCAGAAUGGUUAUUGAUAAUGAAUAAAGUUGAAUACAACUUUCAACAAUGGAUCUCUUGGCUCUCGCAUCGAUGAAGAACGCAGCGAAAUGCGAUAAGUAAUGUGAAUUGCAGAAUUCAGUGAAUCAUCGAAUCUUUGAACGCAUCUUGCGCUCCUUAGUAUUCUGAGGAGCAUGCCUGUUUGAGUGUCAUUAAAUUCUCAAAAUCCUCUCUGUUUGUGAGGCAUUUUGGACAUUGGGAGUUGCAGGUUUAUGAAGCCAGCUCUCCUCAAAUGAAUUAGCAGGGAAAUAUGGGAAUUUCUCCGUUGGUGUGAUAAACUGUUUACACCAUGAAAUGAAGUCCCUGUACAAUCUCUACUUUCUAAAGCAUUUCUGUCCUAGAGAUAGUAAUGGGCUGGUUUGGUUGACUUGACCUCAAAUCAGGUAGGGGUACCCGCUGAACUUAAGCAUAUCAAUAAGCGGAGGAAAAGAACUAACAAAGGAUUCCCUUAGUAACUGCGAGUGAAGUGGGAAAAGCUCAAAUUUAAAAUCUGACAGCCUUUAUGGUUGUCCGGAGUUGUAACCUAGAGAGUGCUACCUGUGCUGGACCGUGUACACAAGUUCCUCCGGAAGUAUAUAAGGGAUAAGCAGAGUCGUAAUAG
This 828-nucleotide unclassified non-coding RNA is filed under the name uncultured fungus. RNAcentral describes it as "partial contains ITS1, 5.8S rRNA and ITS2". The stretch from base 226 to 379 matches the Rfam family "5.8S ribosomal RNA". The record is from RNAcentral. Lineage: Eukaryota; Fungi.